RNAcentral lists this long non-coding RNA (534 nucleotides) under Chinchilla lanigera (long-tailed chinchilla). Its description in RNAcentral is "lncRNA (ENSCLAG00000027093.1)". The record is from RNAcentral. Lineage: Eukaryota; Metazoa; Chordata; Mammalia; Rodentia; Chinchillidae.
GUUUUAUUCUUCAUUCCUUUGUUCAUGAUGCUUUCUUGGAUGAAACUACCCUUUUCUACCAAUUCCCAAUAUUACUUUGUAAUCUCCCUUAGCCUUCAGAAAUCAGUAAAGAAAUAAUAGUAUAGGAAAAAAAAAAAAAAAAAACAAGAGAAAAGCAAAACAAUAGGUAGGAUGAGGUUUGAUUUUAAUUAGAGUGGGUGAGGGUAGAGCUCACUGGAAAAGUAGUACAUAAGCAAAAACAAAUGGAAGCAGGGUGCUAGUGUGUGGGUGAGGGAAACUUGCCCUUUGCCCUCUGAAGUUUUGAUAACUGAGUCUGUCAGGAUAAAUCAACAAUAGAGACAUUAAUGGGAGUCAAAGGCACAGCAAUUUAUUCUACCAACAGCACAGGAAAGAGAACCCUAACAUUGGGAAUGAGGACUCUGGAGGACACGUACUUGAGACCACGGAGAAGAGAGUGUCCAGCGAGCAGGCCUUGCCAGCAGGAGGUAACUAACGGCAGGUGGGCUGUGGAGCAGAGCUGAGCGGAAGCCAAGA